AUUAUAUAUAAUAAAAAUUAUAUUUUACACUCUGAGAACUAAUCUUAUACAUUGUUUAAUAACAUUAAGAAAUGGAUAAAAAAAAGUUUAAUAAUUAGAGUAACACUCUAAUCGCGAAAAUGAUAUUGUAGGUACACACACACUUCGAUGUUCAUGCUCAGACAAUUUUCGAUUUUUGCGUCGCGUGAUUUAAUGUUGCUUGCGUUCGGCCGUCGUGUCGUUCGCUUAGCGAUAAACUCCGGGUUAAAACUGCAGUCCCGUUUUUCGUGUUGACUGCAUACAGUAUGCGCUCUCGCGUUGUGGCAUUCGCUGGGCGAUCACAUGAUCGACGACGAUCGCGAGACCGGCGGGUUGCCGGUCGUUCGCUUUCGCGGGCGCGUAGUCCAAGUUCGCGCGCGUUUCAUGACGUUAUGUAACGCGACCUCGCAGACUUGGCAGCCUGUCAAAUUCGCGACGGCGGGGACUCGAGUCAACUUUCUUUCUUCGCAGUUUGUCGAGGUGAUGACAGAGAAAGAAGGAGGGAUACAUAUACGCGUACACACAUACGCACAGUUUCGCGUCACGUCUCACGUUGCGAGUGGAUUCGUGGAAGAUCCAUCGUUCGCGCGUUCCUGCAUACCGCUCGUAAUUUGCAGAAGCAGACGAGUCGCUGCACUUGCGAAAUGAUACCACACGUGCGAGCGUUUAUGUACAUCUGUAUUGCAGCGGAUAACAUUAAAUAUCUAUAUGCAUACGUCUUGGCGGGGUAUGUAAAUAUAAGCGAGAUGCGUAAUUUUUCGAUGAAAUCUUAACAAAAUUUUGUUGUCGGUAAUUUUAACUUUUUUUUUUUUAUUUUCCAGUAAUAAUAUCCAGUGCGAAAGGUGAGACGUACUUAUUUCAAGCGUUUUAUGUCAAUCAAAAAGAUCAAACGUCAGUUAACCGACAGCACCUCCUGAAUUGCCGUGAAAAUCGUAGAUUCAAUUUUCCAACGCUCCUGAAAACACAUGCACUUUCGAGGAAUAUUGAGCGUAAAAGGUUUCGAGAGCGGAAAAUAUUUUUAAUCGAGCGCGUUUAAUUGCACGUGAGAAACUUUUUUGUAGCUCGUUCGCCGAGUUGGUUUGUUCGUUCGGAAAUCGCGCGAUCAAUCACUGACUUCACGCUCGUCGCUUCUGCCCGCGUUCGGCGUUUUCGAUCGGUCGAUCGGGAAUAUCGAUUAAUCGUCGCGUGGACUCGAGCGGCAGACAGCCGCGGACCUCACUGAGGAAUCGACAGUGUGAGAAGCGGAUCCGGGGCUGCGCGGCGCGGCACUACUGUAAACGCGCUCGCGCUCGCGCUCGGUGGCGUCAUACCGAUCCGAAAAUAAAGCCCGCGGGAUCUAUCGGGUAGGAGUGCAGGAAUUCCGGCACGUGGGACGUGUCACGAAUAUCAGCGGAGACUCGCUUGUGUUGUUCUCAUCGCUUGCGCACAGGUCGAUCAAGACGGUGAUGUCAGCCAACAACUGUAGUGAUCGAAGAUGGAUGCACCUCAAGGAUGGAUCAAUGCCCCGCGAGAAAUUUGUUUACGAUCGAUCGUGGGCAGGGUCGACAAACAUAAAUGCAUAUACCUAUCGCGAGUGUAUACAGGAUUUAGACUAUCCUAGCUAUGUCAGUUUUGUACACUCUUCAUGUCUCUAUUUUUUUUUUACACACAUCAAAAUCAGUGACAGCAGCUAUCAUAAAAUUGGACGUCGUAGCAGAAAUCACUCUGAAUAAAAAUUUCUGUGUUCUCUCGUAA
This is a long non-coding RNA of Acromyrmex echinatior (Panamanian leafcutter ant), 1752 nucleotides long. RefSeq lists it as uncharacterized. The record is from RefSeq and is a predicted model, not a curated record. Lineage: Eukaryota; Metazoa; Arthropoda; Insecta; Hymenoptera; Formicidae.